UGCGACACGUUUGGCACAACAGCUGGUCCACCUGAAACCUUCAGCACAGAAAACUUCCUUUGCUCCCACACUGAUACACUAUCUAACGAAGCGUUACCCUCUGUUAGUCCGUCAGACUCAGCUGAGCAAGAAAGAAAGCAGACAAUCUGGAGGGAAGAACAAACAGACAGAUGGAGAUUAAAACCUCUGUCCGUCCCGAACUGCAUCACCCUUCGAUGCAAGGAUCAGCGUGUUCAGAUCAUGGAUGGAAAGCUUUUAAGGCAAGAAGUCACCCAGAAAUGUUUUUUCACUCCAGGCAUCCAGUCCCAAUCAUCAUCGUUCUGAUGAUGCCACACACGUAGCGAGUCCACAACGUCUUAAAAUUGUUUCUGUAAAGUGCGGUGGUCCAGUUAAUGGGAAUGUUCUGUUGUAGAUCCUCACUGUUCUUAGGAAGGAGAAAUGUCAGUUUGUC
This is a long non-coding RNA of Xiphophorus maculatus (southern platyfish), 451 nucleotides long. RefSeq lists it as uncharacterized. NCBI's taxonomy places the organism in Eukaryota, Metazoa, Chordata, Actinopteri, Cyprinodontiformes, Poeciliidae. The transcript is spliced from 3 exons. The record is from RefSeq and is a predicted model, not a curated record.